AUACGUAGGGUGCAAGCGUUAAUCGGAAUUACUGGGCGUAAAGCGUGCGCAGGCGGUUUUGUAAGACAGUGGUGAAAUCCCCGGGCUCAACCUGGGAACUGCCAUUGUGACUGCGAGGCUGGAGUGCGGCAGAGGGGGAUGGAAUUCCGCGUGUAGCAGUGAAAUGCGUAGAUAUGCGGAGGAACACCGAUGGCGAAGGCAAUCCCCUGGGCCUGCACUGACGCUCAUGCACGAAAGCGUGGGGAGCAAACAGGAUUAGAUACCCUGGUAGUCCACGCCCUAAACGAUGUCAACUGGUUGUUGGGGAUUUAUUUUCUCAGUAACGAAGCUAACGCGUGAAGUUGACCGCCUGGGGAGUACGGCCGCAAGGUUAAAACUCAAAGGAAUUGACGGGG
RNAcentral lists this ribosomal RNA (395 nucleotides) under uncultured bacterium. RNAcentral describes it as "partial 16S ribosomal RNA". It matches the Rfam family "Bacterial small subunit ribosomal RNA", at positions 523 to 918 of the family's 1533-position model. The record is from RNAcentral.